This is an RNA transcript of Mus musculus (house mouse), 2082 nucleotides long. It is a transcript of the gene named nitrogen fixation gene 1 (S. cerevisiae), with no coding region annotated. Lineage: Eukaryota; Metazoa; Chordata; Mammalia; Rodentia; Muridae. The transcript has 13 exons. The record is from RefSeq and is marked validated.
GCAGUUACUUCCGGGAGCAUGGGCUGAGGACUUGCAAGCGCCGCGGAUGGUGGGCUCUGUGGCUGGGAACAUGCUGCUGCGAGCCGCUUGGAGGCGGGCGUCGUUGGCGGCUACCUCCUUGGCCCUGGGAAGGUCCUCGGUGCCCACCCGGGGACUGCGCCUGCGCGUUGUAGAUCAUGGCCCCCAUUCGCCUGUUCACUCAGAGGCAGAGGCAGUGCUGCGACCUCUCUACAUGGACGUACAGGCCACCACUCCUCUGGAUCCCAGAGUGCUUGAUGCCAUGCUCCCAUACCUUGUCAACUACUAUGGGAACCCUCAUUCUCGGACUCAUGCAUAUGGCUGGGAGAGCGAGGCAGCCAUGGAACGUGCUCGCCAGCAAGUAGCAUCUCUGAUUGGAGCUGAUCCUCGGGAGAUCAUUUUCACUAGUGGAGCUACUGAGUCCAACAACAUAGCAAUUAAGGGAGUGGCCAGGUUCUACAGGUCAAGGAAAAAACACUUGGUCACAACCCAGACAGAACACAAAUGUGUGCUGGAUUCCUGCCGCUCCCUGGAAGCUGAGGGCUUUCGGGUCACUUACCUCCCUGUGCAGAAGAGCGGGAUCAUUGACUUAAAGGAACUAGAGGCUGCCAUCCAGCCAGACACCAGCCUGGUCUCCGUUAUGACUGUGAACAAUGAAAUUGGAGUAAAGCAACCAAUUGCAGAAAUAGGGCAGAUUUGUAGUUCCAGAAAGGUGUACUUCCACACUGAUGCCGCCCAAGCGGUUGGGAAAAUCCCACUUGACGUCAAUGACAUGAAGAUUGAUCUCAUGAGCAUCAGCGGUCACAAACUCUAUGGCCCUAAAGGGGUUGGUGCUAUCUAUAUCCGCCGUAGGCCCCGGGUACGUGUGGAGGCCCUACAGAGUGGAGGCGGGCAGGAGCGGGGUAUGCGGUCUGGGACAGUGCCCACACCCUUGGUGGUGGGCCUGGGAGCUGCAUGUGAGUUGGCACAACAAGAGAUGGAAUACGACCAUAAGCGGAUCUCAAAGUUAGCAGAGCGACUGGUACAGAACAUAAUGAAGAAUCUUCCAGAUGUGGUAAUGAACGGGGACCCGAAGCAGCACUACCCUGGCUGUAUCAACCUCUCCUUCGCGUAUGUGGAAGGAGAGAGCCUGCUGAUGGCCCUCAAGGAUGUGGCCUUGUCCUCAGGGAGGGUGUGUCCUAUGGACUAAAAGGAUCUGUCUCCAUCCUUAGUGCCUGCACUUCUGCAUCAUUGGAGCCCUCUUAUGUCCUCAGAGCAAUUGGUACCGAUGAGGAUUUAGCACACUCCUCUAUCAGGUUUGGCAUCGGCCGCUUCACUACAGAAGAGGAGGUGGACUACACGGCGGAGAAGUGCAUCCACCACGUGAAGCGCCUUCGAGAAAUGAGUCCUCUCUGGGAGAUGGUCCAGGAUGGCAUUGACCUCAAGAGCAUCAAGUGGACCCAGCAUUAGAGGAGUGGGCUGUGACUUUGUGCUGGCCUGGCUGUUCUGGCCUCACUGAUCUGUGCACAGCCAGGAACCUCACUGCCUGACGUGGUCCAUGCUCAAAGCAGAUGGGAAGCUCUGCAGUGACUUCACCACAGAAUGUUCUCUAGUGAAAGCUGAGGCUAGCUUUCUUAGCCUCGGCUCCUGUGUAGGCAUGUAUUCCGUAAUCUUCCUCAGGAGUUCUUCUCUUGCCUGGCGUGGCCAUUCUUAUCUGAGGGCCUGGAGGCACUGCCUUGUUACUGCCACAGGGAGGACCUACCUGUGCAGAGAUGGAAGAACUGGAAGAAGGCUCUAGGUUCAAAGACUGCUUCUCUGUGAAUCAUUACUCUAGCUGCUCAGCUGAACUGGCGCCAUUAGGGACUGGCAUAAACAAACUUUAUUUUAACCUUUUUUGUGGCUUUGAAAGACAUCUCUUUGUAUCGACUUCAGCUGAAGAACACCAAGUUGUAUUAAAGUCUUGUUUCCUUUGGGGUCUCAUCUUCUUUCCUCUCUUUUGACUUAAUGUAAGUAGAAAUAUCCAUGACCCCAAUCAUUAUUCUAAUAAUUUACUUAAUUCAUUAAACUUAAUUCAAUAAAUUCCCA